This 204-nucleotide ribosomal RNA is filed under the name uncultured bacterium. RNAcentral describes it as "partial 16S ribosomal RNA". It matches the Rfam family "Bacterial small subunit ribosomal RNA", at positions 568 to 774 of the family's 1533-position model. The record is from RNAcentral.
UGCGUAGGCGGGUUUUUAAGUCAGAGGUGAAAUCCUGGAGCUCAACUCCAGAACUGCCUUUGAUACUGAAAGUCUUGAGUAUGGGAGAGGUGAGUGGAACUGCGAGUGUAGAGGUGAAAUUCGUAGAUAUUCGCAAGAACACCAGUGGCGAAGGCGGCUCACUGGCCCAUAACUGACGCUGAGGCAAGACUGGGGAGGCAAACA